This 322-nucleotide unclassified non-coding RNA is filed under the name soil metagenome. RNAcentral describes it as "partial contains 5.8S ribosomal RNA, internal transcribed spacer 2, and large subunit ribosomal RNA". The stretch from base 2 to 119 matches the Rfam family "5.8S ribosomal RNA", at positions 37 to 154 of the family's 154-position model. The record is from RNAcentral.
GUGAAGAACGUAGCGAAAUGCGAUAAGUAAUGCGAAUUGCAGAAUUCAGUGAGUCAUCGAAUCUUUGAACGCACAUUGCGCCCUGUGGUAUUCCGCAGGGCAUGCCUGUUCGAGCGUCAUUUCAACCCUCAAGCUCUGCUUGGUGUUGGGCCCUGCCCGCUGCGGCCGGCCCUAAAGACAGUGGCGGUGCCGCCUGGCCCUGAGCGUAGUACAUCUCUCGCUCCAGUGCCCGGUGGUAGCCUGCCAGAACCCCAACUCUCGUGGUUGACCUCGGAUCAGGUAGGGAUACCCGCUGAACUUAAGCAUAUCAAUAAGCGGAGGA